AAGGGUCCGUAGGCGGUUUAGUAAGUCAGUGGUGAAAGCCCAUCGCUCAACGGUGGAACGGCCAUUGAUACUGCUAAACUUGAAUUAUUAGGAAGUAACUAGAAUAUGUAGUGUAGCGGUGAAAUGCUUAGAGAUUACAUGGAAUACCAAUUGCGAAGGCAGGUUACUACUAAUGGAUUGACGCUGAUGGACGAAAGCGUGGGUAGCGAACAGGAUUAGAUACCCUGGUAGUCCACGCCGUAAACGAUGGAUACUAGCUGUUGGAAGCAAUUUCAGUGGCUAAGCGAAAGUGAUAAGUAUCCCACCUGGGGAGUACGUUCGCAAGAAUGAAACUCAAAGGAAUUGACGGGGGCCCGCACAAGCGGUGGAGCAUGUGGUUUAAUUCGAUGAUACGCGAGGAACCUUACCAAGGCUUAAAUGUAGAUUGACCGGUUUGGAAACAGACUUUUCGCAAGACAAUUUACAAGGUGCUGCAUGGUUGUCGUCAGCUCGUGCCGUGAGGUGUCAGGCUAAGUCCUAUAACGAGCGCAACCCCUGUUGUUAGUUGCCAGCGAGUCAUGUCGGGAACUCUAACGAGACUGCCAGUGCAAACUGAGAGGAAGGUGGGGAUGACGUCAAAUCAUCACGGCCCUUACGCCUUGGGCUACACACGUGCUACAAUGGUCGGUACAGCGGGUUGCGAACUUGUAAAAGUAAGCUAAUCCCUUAAAGCCGAUCUAAGUUCGGAUUGAGGUCUGCAACUCGACCUCAUGAAGUUGAAAUCGCUAGUAAUCGC
This 775-nucleotide ribosomal RNA is filed under the name uncultured Flavobacterium sp. RNAcentral's name for it is "bacterial SSU rRNA". It matches the Rfam family "Bacterial small subunit ribosomal RNA", at positions 563 to 1345 of the family's 1533-position model. The record is from RNAcentral. Lineage: Bacteria; Pseudomonadati; Bacteroidota; Flavobacteriia; Flavobacteriales; Flavobacteriaceae.